GGCGGGGAGGGACCCCACCCCACCCCGAGUGACGGGAUUGCUCCAGAGCCCCCGCCUCCUCCCGCGGCGGCUGCCAACAUGGCUGCGGCCGCCUCCGCUGCCCAGGACGAGCUGAAUCAACUUGAACGUGUAUUCUUACGUCUUGGCCAUGCAGAAACAGAUGAGCAGUUACAGAAUAUUAUAUCCAAAUUCCUACCCCCUGUCCUGCUCAAACUGUCCAGCACGCAGGAAGGAGUGCGUAAAAAGGUCAUGGAGCUCCUAGUUCACUUGAAUAAACGCAUCAAAAGUCGUCCAAAAAUUCAACUUCCAGUAGAGACUUUACUAGUCCAAUACCAAGAUCCCGCUGCAGUUUCCUUUGUCACCAAUUUUACUAUAAUUUAUGUUAAGAUGGGUUACCCUCGUUUGCCUGUGGAAAAACAAUGUGAAUUGGCGCCUACUCUCCUCACUGCAAUGGAAGGGAAACCACAACCACAGCAAGACAGCCUAAUGCAUCUUCUAAUACCAACCCUUUUUCACAUGAAAUAUCCUGUUGAACCAUCGAAAGCAGCUUCUCCAUUUAAUCUUGCCGAAAAACCAAAGACUGUACAGCUGCUCUUGGAGUUUAUGUUGGAUGUGCUCCUUAUGCCUUAUGGAUACGUACUGAAUGAAUCCCAGAGUCGCCAAAACGUGCCAUCGGCACAGGGCUCUUCUGCAUCCAGUAGUGCUGGAAGUUCGGGGAUCCCUCAACCUCCUCCAGGGAUGAGCUUUUACGCAGCCAAGCGGGUAAUUGGAGAUAGCCCAUGGACACCUGAACAGCUGGAACAGUGUAAACUGGGAAUAGUAAAGUUCAUUGAAGCUGAGCAGGUACCAGAGCUUGAAGCCGUCAUACACCUGGUAAUAGCCUCCAGCGACACACGACACAGUGUAGCCACUGCGGCAGACCUGGAACUGAAAAGCAAACAAAGCUUAAUUGACUGGAAUAAUCCUACUAUCGUCAACAAAAUGUACAAAGUGUACCUCGGGGAUAUACCACUGAAAACUAAAGAGGGAGUUGUUCUGAAGCCAGAACUGAAACGAGAUCCAGUCAGCACCCGGGUUAAAUUAAAGAUUGUUCCUCAUCUUCUGCGUUCCAGACAAGCUGCAGAAACAUUCCCAGCUAACAUUCAGGUGGUAUAUGAUGGACUCUUUGGUGCAAAUACAAACACGAAACUGAGAACUCUGUCCCUGCAGUUUGUACAUCAUAUUUGUACAAGUUGUCCAGAAAGUAAAAUAAAGCCACUAGGCCCAAUGCUUUUAAAUGGGCUUACGAAACUGAUUAAUGAAUACAAAGAGGACCCCAAACUGCUGUCAAUGGCCUAUUCAGCUGUUGGAAAACUGUCCAGUCGAAUGCCUCAGCUGUUUACCAAGGACAUAGCUCUUGUCCAGCAGUUUUUUGAAGCUUUGUGCAAGGAAGAGCCCGAUACCAGACUUGCUAUUCAGGAGGCCUUGUCUAUGAUGGUUGGAGCAUAUAGUAGUUUGGAAGGAGCACAGCGUACGCUUAUGGAGGCUCUUGUGGCUUCAUACCUAAUAAAGCCUGAAGUCCAAGUGCGUCAGGUGGCCGUGAAAUUUGCAAGCACAGUGUUCCCUUCAGAUCACAUCCCUUCCAGAUACUUACUGCUUUUAGCUGCAGGAGAUCCACGAGAGGAGGUGCAUGGAGAAGCCCAGCGCGUACUGAGAAUGUUUCCUGGUAAAAAUGAAAAGGAGAGUGCUGGUAAACAGAUGCCUUCCUUCCCAGAAAUGGUCCAUUACAUUCAAGACAAGGCCUCUCACCGAAUGAAAACUCCUGCUAAAUACAUGACCGGAACUGCAGUCCUGCCUUUCAAUCCUGCUACGUUUGGAGAGAUAGUCCUGUACCUGCGAAUGUGUCUUGCGCAUAGCGCAGGUGUGGUGCCAUCCUCUCAGAACUUAGCUGACAUGCAAGACCAUGCUCCAGCAAUUGGCCGUUAUAUCAGAAACCUCCUGUCUGGCAACUUCAUAUCUUCCUCCUCAUCGUCAUCUUCCUCAAAAAGUGGAGAAACCAACCCAGUGCAAAUCUAUAUUGGCCUUCUUCAGCAGCUGUUGUCUGGGGUUGGAGGUUUGCCAGUCAUGUAUUGUCUUCUAGAAGUUGUUUCGGUGUAUCCAGAAAAACUAGCUACCAGAUUUGCAGACAAAAUAGAUUGGAUAAAGAGUCUGAUGAAUACAAACAAGGAAGAGAUGCGUGAGCUGGCAGCACUGUUGUAUUCUGUAGUGUUGUCUACAAUGUCUGGAAAUGAACUGAAGUCCUCUGUACAGCAACUGAUCAAGACAGCAAAAGACAAUCAUAACCCGGAGAUCCAACAUGGAUCCUUGUUGGCUUUGGGAUUCACAGUAGGAAGGUACCUGGCCAAAAGGAAAACCAGAAUGAUGGAGAUGCAUGACAUUGAAGAGCCAAAUAUUGUUGUCAUGCCAGAACAAGACCAGCUCAUAAAGACCACAACAGAAACAAUAGGUUCCUUUUUGGACAGCACCUCUCCGCUCCUGGCAGUUGCUGCUUGUACAGCACUGGGGGAAAUUGGCAGGAACGGCCCCUUGCCAAUUCCCAACGAAGGCACCGGGUUUACAAAGCUGCAUCUUGUUGAGAGUUUACUGACCAGAAUCCCUUCUGGCAAGGAAACAAAUAAGAUGAAAGAACGAGCGAUACAAACACUGGGUUACUUUCCAGUGGGAGAUGGAGACUUUCCCCACCAGAAACUACUGUUGCAAGGACUAAUGGAUUCUGUGGAGGCCAAGCAAAUAGAACUUCAGUUCACCGUUGGUGAAGCCAUUACCAGUGCCGCAAUAGGAACCAGCUCAGUGGCUGCCCGUGAUGCUUGGAUGGUCACCGAGGAAGAGUAUACUCCUCCUGCAGAUGUGAAAGUGAACGACGUGGUCCCCUGGGUUUUGGACCUCAUUUUGAAUAAGCACAUUGUCAGCCCUAACCCCCACGUCAGGCAGGCAGCCUGCAUCUGGCUUUUGUCACUGGUGAAGAAGCUGAGCACACACAAAGAAAUUAAGUCUCAUCUCAAGGAGAUUCAAAGUGCAUUUGUUUCAGUUCUGUCUGAUAAUGAUGAACUUAGCCAAGACGUUGCUUCAAAAGGCCUUGGACUAGUGUAUGAACUAGGUAGUGAACAAGAUCAACAGGAGCUGGUCACCACGCUUGUUGAUACGCUUAUGACUGGGAAAAGGGUCAAACAUGAAGUGACUGGAGAGACAGUGGUGUUCCAGGGAGCCCUUGGCAAAACCCCAGAUGGUCAGGGUCUCUCUACCUACAAGGAGCUUUGUUCACUGGCUAGUGACCUCAGCCAACCAGACCUGGUGUACAAAUUCAUGAAUCUGGCCAACCACCAUGCCAUGUGGAACUCGCGCAAGGGAGCAGCGUUUGGUUUCAACGUGAUCGCUACAAAGGCUGGAGAGCAACUGGCUCCGUUUUUGCCCCAGCUGGUUCCCCGUCUCUAUCGUUACCAGUUUGACCCCAACAUGGGCAUUCGACAGGCUAUGACCAGCAUUUGGAACGCGCUUGUCACCGACAAAUCUGCAAUUGAUAAAUACAUGAAGGAGAUUCUGGAUGAUCUGCUCAACAACCUGACCAGCAACAUGUGGAGGAUCAGAGAAUCCAGCUGUCUAGCACUGAAUGACUUAUUAAGAGGCCGACCACUGGAUGACAUUAUUGAUAAACUUCCGGAAAUCUGGGAAACCCUGUUCCGAGUGCAAGAUGAUAUUAAGGAGUCUGUACGAAAAGCAGCAGAACUAGCCCUGAAAACGUUAAGUAAGGUGUGUGUGAAAAUGUGCGACCCCGCCAAAGGCGCAGCGGGCCAGAGAACUAUAGCGGUGUUACUGCCCUGCCUGCUGGACAAAGGAAUGAUGAGCACAGUGACUGAAGUUCGGGCUCUGAGCAUUAACACUCUUGUGAAGAUCAGUAAAAGUGCUGGUGUUAUGCUGAAGCCUCACGCGCCAAAGCUCAUCCCAGCUUUGCUGGAGUCCUUAAGCGUGUUGGAACCCCAGGUUCUCAAUUAUUUGAGUCUCCGCGCUACGGAUCAGGAGAAAGCUGCAAUGGAUAGUGCAAGACUUAGUGCUGCUAAAUCAUCUCCCAUGAUGGAAACAAUUAAUAUGUGCUUGCAGUAUCUGGAUGUGUCUGUCCUGGGGGAGCUGGUUCCUAGGCUGUGUGAGCUGAUCAAAAGUGGAAUAGGCCUGGGCACUAAGGGAGGCUGUGCCAGUGUCAUUGUGUCACUAACCACUCAGUGUCCCCAGGACUUAACGCCGUACUCAGGCAAACUCAUGAGUGCUUUACUCAGUGGGCUGACUGAUCGCAACAGCGUGGUGCAGAAGUCUUUUGCAUUUGCUAUGGGGCAUCUAGUUCGGACCUCCCGGGAUAGUAGCACUGAGAAACUACUGCAGAAGCUCAACAGCUGGUACAUGGAGAAGGAAGAACCAGUCUAUAGGAUAGGCUGUGCUUUAACUGUUCAUGCCAUCGGGCGCUACAGCCCGGACGUGUUGAAGAACCAUGCCAAACAGGUCUUACCUCUGGCAUUUCUGGGCAUGCACGAGGUUCCAGAUGAAGAGAAAGGAGAGAAAGAUGAUUCUAAUCUGUGGACCGAAGUGUGGCAGGAAAAUGUACCUGGCACUUAUGGUGGCAUUAGAUUGUAUAUGCAGGAGUUGAUCGCAAUUACCCAGAAGGCUCUGCAGUCCCAGUCUUGGAAGAUGAAAGCCCAGGGAGCGGCUGCCAUGGCCUCUAUUGCCAAACAAACUGGUUCCCUGGUACCGCCCCAUCUGGGAAUGGUGGUUGAUGCAUUGUUGCAAGGUCUGUCUGGAAGAACGUGGGCAGGAAAGGAGGAGCUGCUGAAAGCUAUCGCCAGCGUCGUCUCUGCAUGCAGUGUAGAGUUGCAGAAGUCUGUGCCCAAUCAGCCCAGCGUCAAUGAUGUUGUCCAGGCUGUCCUGAAAGAGUGUCGCAAAGAGAACCUCAAGUACAAGAUGGUAGCGCUCCGAUGUACGGCAGACGUGCUGAAGGCGACAAAGGAAGACCGUUUCCAGGAGCUGGCGGACAUCGUCUUUCCGAUGAUAAAGAAGAAUUCUCAUGAGAGCGUAGGAGCUGGUUCACCAAAGAAUGAUGAUGACGAGAAUGAAAAAGAAAAGGAGCUUCAGAUGGAAUCUCUGCUCUGUGCCUUUGAGAGUUUGGGCAAGGCCUGGCCUAGGAAUCUGGAGACACAGCGCUGCUAUUGGCAAGAGCUGUGCAAAUUAAUGUGUGAGCGUCUGAAACUCAGUACGUGGAAAGUGCAGCUUGGAGUGCUACAGGCCAUGAACGCCUAUUUUCAAGGCUGUAUUUGUGCCACUGAUGUGUACUGCGCUUUGAAAGUUGGAAUGCAUUCUUUCUCCAUAGAAAAUAGGAGCUACACCUCCAUCAGAACAGAAGCGUUGUCUGUGAUAGAACUGCUGCUUACCAGACUUAAAGAGUCUAAACAAUGGGACAGCCUGCCACUGGAAAGUAGAGCGCUCCUCAUUGGCUCACUUACUACCAUGGUAUUGGACAGCAGACCUGAGCUGCAAGAGAAAGCAUCUUUAUUGAAGAAAACACUUGAAAACCUUGACUAAAUUGUAAAACACCAACAGCAAAGUGCCAUGUAAAACAAAAACAAGUGCAGUGUGAUCCGAAAACCAAGUGGGGAAAUGAAGAUUAAUCUGUAGCAUGCAUCAUUCCUUGGCCAAAAUAAAAAAUGCCUUAAAUUCUGUUCCCCA
RNAcentral lists this long non-coding RNA (5745 nucleotides) under Terrapene triunguis (Three-toed box turtle). RNAcentral describes it as "Terrapene carolina triunguis (Three-toed box turtle) lncRNA (ENSTMTG00000013195.1)". The record is from RNAcentral. Lineage: Eukaryota; Metazoa; Chordata; Testudines; Emydidae.